UGCCUAAUACAUGCAAGUCGAGCGCAGGAAACCAGUUGACCCCUUCGGGGUGAUUCUGGCGGAAUGAGCGGCGGACGGGUGAGUAACACGUGGGCAACCUGCCUGUAAGACUGGGAUAACUUCGGGAAACCGGAGCUAAUACCGGAUAGUAUUUCCUUUCUCCUGAUUGGAAAUGGAAAGACGGUUUCGGCUGUCACUUACAGAUGGGCCCGCGGUGCAUUAGCUAGUUGGCGGGGUAAUGGCCCACCAAGGCGACGAUGCAUAGCCGACCUGAGAGGGUGAUCGGCCACACUGGGACUGAGACACGGCCCAGACUCCUACGGGAGGCAGCAGUAGGGAAUCUUCCGCAAUGGACGAAAGUCUGACGGAGCAACGCCGCGUGAGCGAUGAAGGCCUUCGGGUCGUAAAGCUCUGUUGUUAGGGAAGAACAAGUACGAGAGUAACUGCUCGUACCUUGACGGUACCUAACCAGAAAGCCCCGGCUAACUACGUGCCAGCAGCCGCGGUAAUACGUAGGGGGCAAGCGUUGUCCGGAAUUAUUGGGCGUAAAGGGCUCGUAGGCGGUUUCUUAAGUCUGAUGUGAAAGCCCACAGCUCAACUGUGGAGGGUCAUUGGAAACUGGGGAACUUGAGUGCAGAAGAGGAGAGUGGAAUUCCACGUGUAGCGGUGAAAUGCGUAGAUAUGUGGAGGAACACCAGUGGCGAAGGCGACUCUCUGGUCUGUAACUGACGCUGAGGAGCGAAAGCGUGGGGAGCAAACAGGAUUAGAUACCCUGGUAGUCCACGCCG
This 788-nucleotide ribosomal RNA is filed under the name Terribacillus sp. N34. Its description in RNAcentral is "bacterial SSU rRNA". It matches the Rfam family "Bacterial small subunit ribosomal RNA", at positions 45 to 802 of the family's 1533-position model. The record is from RNAcentral. Lineage: Bacteria; Bacillati; Bacillota; Bacilli; Caryophanales; Bacillaceae.